This 497-nucleotide ribosomal RNA is filed under the name uncultured bacterium. Its description in RNAcentral is "partial 16S ribosomal RNA". It matches the Rfam family "Bacterial small subunit ribosomal RNA", at positions 28 to 507 of the family's 1533-position model. The record is from RNAcentral.
GAUGAACGCUGGCGGCGUGCCUAAUACAUGCAAGUCGAGCGAACGGACGAGAAGCUUGCUUCUCUGAUGUUAGCGGCGGACGGGUGAGUAACACGUGGAUAACCUACCUAUAAGACUGGGAUAACUUCGGGAAACCGGCGCUAAUACCGGAUGAUAUUUUGAACCGCAUGGUUCAAAAGUGAAAGACGGUCUUGCUGUCACUUAUAGAUGGAUCCGCGCUGCAUUAGCUAGUUGGUAAGGUAACGGCCUACCAAGGCAACGAUGCAUAGCCGACCUGAGAGGGUGAUCGGCCACACUGGAACUGAGACACGGUCCAGACUCCUACGGGAGGCAGCAGUAGGGAAUCGUCCGCAAUGGGCGAAAGCCUGACGGAGCAACGCCGCGUGUGUGAUGAAGGUCUUCGGAUCGUAAAACUCUGUUAUUAGGGGAGAACAUAUGUGUAAGUAACUGUGCACAUCUUGACGGUACCUAAUCAGAAAGCCACGGCUAACUACGUG